Molecule: long non-coding RNA, 336 nt
Filed under: Papio anubis (olive baboon)
Lineage: Eukaryota; Metazoa; Chordata; Mammalia; Primates; Cercopithecidae
Description: lncRNA (ENSPANG00000051292.1)
Source: RNAcentral
UUCUGUUUUGGUCUCUUUUUCUUUCUUAGAUCACACACCCAUGAGAAAGCCAAAUGCCAUGUUGUAAGGAGAGGCCCAUGUGGUGAGGAACUGAAGCCUCCUGCCAGCAGCCACAUGAGCUACUUUGGAUAUAAAUGCAGCCUUUCCAGCCCAGAUGGGUCUUGUUUAUUCAAAGACAAAGGAGAGGAUAAAUUUCAUAUUUAAACUAAUCUGUUCCCCCAAAAUGGUAACAGUCCAACACUGGCCAAGCUGAUUCAGACAGCACAGCUUCCCGGGCUCUGCGGGGCUGGACCAAAGAGAAGAGUCCUCCGCGGGUGCUAGAAGAGCGAAGCACGU